This 82-nucleotide transfer RNA is filed under the name Apaloderma vittatum (bar-tailed trogon). It matches the Rfam family "tRNA". From Rfam's summary of the family: Transfer RNA (tRNA) molecules are approximately 80 nucleotides in length. Their secondary structure includes four short double-helical elements and three loops (D, anti-codon, and T loops). Lineage: Eukaryota; Metazoa; Chordata; Aves; Trogoniformes; Trogonidae. The record is from Rfam by way of RNAcentral.
GGCCGGUUAGCUCAGUGGUUUGAGCGUAGUGCUGAAAACAAGGAUCAACACUGAGGUCGCGGGUUUGAUUCCCGCUCGGUCC